GAAAGAGGAGCUGGCUGCAAAACUGUGCAGAUUAGCAAGCCAAGUCAGUGCCACCCAGUUUUCAUCCACAGAUGAUGAGUUGGAUAGCACAGGCAGAGGUGAAGAGGAGGAGGAGGAGGAGGAUGAAGGGACCUUGUGGAAAAUGGAGGCUGAAAACGCAGUCCAGGUGGCUCCGCUGCGCGACUUGGUCAGUCUGGUCAGCGCAUCUCAGUUCUCCUCCACUGAAGAUGAGCUGGACAGAGUAGGAGAGGACGAGCUAGAGAGGAAUAAAGAGGUGAGCAAAGGAGACGCUGUCCUCGACAGUGAGAGUGCCGAGGACAGAGAGCAGCCACAGCUUAUGACGACUGAGAAGGGAGAAGACGUGGAAACAAAUGAUAAGGGGAGAGGAAGUGAUUCAGAUAUGAACAUGUUUUAUUUUGAGGUCGGCUCAGAAGGAGAUAAGGUGACAGAUGCAAGCAAUGUUGAAAAAGACAUAAAGAAUAAAGAGAGCAGUGAAGGCACAGCAACAGCUCAGAAUGUGUCGGACACAGAGAAAGUGGAGUGUGUCCAACAAGGUAAAACAGAGGCAGAGGAAUCAGAGAAGAAAGAUUACGUGGAAGAGGAGCUAAUAGAAGAUAAGUAUGAGGAUGAAAGGCUCGCAGAAGAGGUAGGAGAGGUAGAAGUUUCAACAUUUUUGUCUGAUGGAGGGAAAGAAGCAGUGGAAACACAAGGGUUAAAAAUAGAGGUGGAAGCAGAAAGAAUGAAGGAAAGGAUUGAGGAAAGGAUAACGACAGGCUCAGGUGAGGCAGGAGUCCCACAAGAGAAUAUAUUACCGUGUAAACGAGAGGCGGAGCGGUCGGAGGAGACAGAUGGAGAAGAGAAACAGGCGGAGGAAAAGAUGAGAGGAUUCAGAGAGGGAAUCGGGAGAUGGGACACUGCCAAAAGUGAUGAAGAGGAUGUGGAAUUUGACCGAAUAAUUAGCAGCAUGUUGAUGAUGUCUGUGGAGGAGAUUCAGGUAGACUCAUCAGCUGACACAGCAAAGGAUAGAUUUGGGGAAUUAGGG
Molecule: long non-coding RNA, 1042 nt
Filed under: Myripristis murdjan (pinecone soldierfish)
Lineage: Eukaryota; Metazoa; Chordata; Actinopteri; Holocentriformes; Holocentridae
Description: lncRNA (ENSMMDG00005007419.1)
Source: RNAcentral